GCAGACGGAAUAAGGUGCUAAUCAGCUGACUUUAACUAAAGGAGAUACCCAGGUGGACCCAAUGUGAAUAUAAGACUCCUUAAAUGGGAAAGAAGGAGGCAGAAGAAUCAGAAGCAGAGAGAGGGCAUUGUGAGGAAAAACUCAACUGGCCAUUGCUGGCUUUGCAGUUGGAAGGGGCCCAAUAGCUAGUGACUAGGUCAGCCUCUGGGACUGAAAAGGCAAGGAAAUAGAUUCCUCCCCUAGAGCCUCCAAAAGGAACACAGUCCUGCUGUCAUCUUGAUUUUAGCCCAUUGAGAUGCCUUUUCAACUUCUGACCUCCAGCACGCCAGCCUUUGGACACCCUAGAAAUAUUGAUUGAAUCUGCCCAAUUUGACUUUUAUAAUAAAUGGAACAAGCUGGAACUGAACAAUGUUGAUUACAAAAUCUUUUCAUUCUUUGUGAUGAAAGGAACAUGAGCAUCCUCUAGACGUUGGAAAUGGCAAGGAAAUUGGUCCUCUCCUAGAGCCUCCAGAAGGAAUGCAGCCAUGCGGAUACCAUGAUUUCAGCCCAGUGAGUCCCACUCCAGACUUCUCACCUAUAGAACUGCAAGAGUGGAAUGCUGUCUACAUGAAGCAAACGAAGCAGGAGCUACAAUCAACCAAACCUUUCACCCUGAUGCUAAAUAAACUGAGCUCCCCCCAGGUCAAGUCAAUAGGUGAGUAUUACAGACCGCAUGCAGCUCGGAGAGCCUAUGACGAUCAAGUGCUCCCAUCCCUGUCAACCUGUCAUAGAACAGAUUGAAUAGACUCCUCCAAAACCUACUCAUGUGGAAAAUUUGAGAGUGAAAAAAAUAUUUCUCUAGGCUUAAAAAAAAAGUAGAUUGAAAGCAAAAUGUGAAUUUGAAUCUCAUCAACUUGAUUCUCUGCCUUCAUCAGCCAUCGGAUCCAAUGAAGUCUACACCACGCCUCCCUUCUCUCUGAUUUUAGGUCAUCAGUUUACUAACAGAGGUGGAAAUUCUGCAAGGCUCGGUAACUUGUA
Molecule: long non-coding RNA, 1017 nt
Filed under: Equus caballus (horse)
Lineage: Eukaryota; Metazoa; Chordata; Mammalia; Perissodactyla; Equidae
Description: lncRNA (ENSECAG00000053438.1)
Source: RNAcentral